AUUGAACGCUGGCGGCAUGCCUUACACAUGCAAGUCGAACGGCAGCACGGGUGCUUGCCCCUGGUGGCGAGUGGCGAACGGGUGAGUAAUACAUCGGAACAUGUCCUGUAGUGGGGGAUAGCCCGGCGAAAGCCGGAUUAAUACCGCAUACGAUCUACGGAUGAAAGCGGGGGACCUUCGGGCCUCGCGCUAUAGGGUUGGCCGAUGGCCGAUUAGCUAGUUGGUGGGGUAAAGGCCUACCAAGGCGACGAUCAGUAGCUGGUCUGAGAGGACGACCAGCCACACUGGGACUGAGACACGGCCCAGACUCCUACGGGAGGCAGCAGUGGGGAAUUUUGGACAAUGGGCGAAAGCCUGAUCCAGCAAUGCCGCGUGUGUGAAGAAGGCCUUCGGGUUGUAAAGCACUUUUGUCCGGAAAGAAAUCCUUGGCUCCAAUACAGUCGGGGGAUGACGGUACCGGAAGAAUAAGCACCGGCUAACUACGUG
RNAcentral lists this ribosomal RNA (486 nucleotides) under uncultured bacterium. RNAcentral's name for it is "partial 16S ribosomal RNA". It matches the Rfam family "Bacterial small subunit ribosomal RNA", at positions 30 to 507 of the family's 1533-position model. The record is from RNAcentral.